UGCAACGACGAAAACCUUAACCUACCCUUGACAUGUCCGGAAUCCGAAGAGAUUUGGAGUGCUCGCAAGAGAGCCGGAACACAGGUGCUGCAUGGCUGUCGUCAGCUCGUGUCGUGAGAUGUUGGGUUAAGUCCCGCAACGAGCGCAACCCUUGUCAUUAGUUGCCAUCAUUUGGUUGGGCACUCUAAUGAGACUGCCGGUGACAAACCGGAGGAAGGUGGGGAUGACGUCAAGUCCUCAUGGCCCUUAUGGGUAGGGCUUCACACGUCAUACAAUGGUCGGUACAGAGGGUUGCCAACCCGCGAGGGGGAGCUAAUCCCACAAAGCCGAUCGUAGUCCGGAUCGCAGUCUGCAACUCGACUGCGUGAAGUCGGAAUCGCUAGUAAUCGUGGAUCAGCAUGUCACGGUGAAUACGUUCCCGGGUCUU
Molecule: ribosomal RNA, 427 nt
Filed under: uncultured Rhodocyclaceae bacterium
Lineage: Bacteria; Pseudomonadati; Pseudomonadota; Betaproteobacteria; Rhodocyclales; Rhodocyclaceae
Description: bacterial SSU rRNA
Rfam family: Bacterial small subunit ribosomal RNA
Source: RNAcentral